GAUUGCACUAUAUAACAACCUCUCUGCAAUCGCGGCUG
RNAcentral lists this non-coding RNA (38 nucleotides) under unclassified sequences. RNAcentral describes it as "S4-Bacteroidia ribosomal protein leader". It matches the Rfam family "S4-Bacteroidia ribosomal protein leader". The record is from RNAcentral.